This is a long non-coding RNA of Schistocerca serialis cubense, 167 nucleotides long. RefSeq lists it as uncharacterized. Lineage: Eukaryota; Metazoa; Arthropoda; Insecta; Orthoptera; Acrididae. The transcript has 3 exons. The record is from RefSeq and is a predicted model, not a curated record.
CUUAAUCAUAGCUAACACUUGGUUCAAGAAACAUAAAAGAUGGUUGUAUACAAGGAAGAAGCCUGGAGAUACUGACAGGUUUCAGAUAGAUUAUACAAUGGUAAGACAGAGAUUUAAGAACCAGGUUUUAAACUGUAAGACAUUUCCAGGGGCAGAUGUGGAUUCUG